ACAACUUUCAGCAACGGAUCUCUUGGCUCUCGCAUCGAUGAAGAACGCAGCGAAAUGCGAUAAGUAAUGUGAAUUGCAGAAUUCAGUGAAUCAUCGAAUCUUUGAACGCACCUUGCGCUCCUUGGUAUUCCGAGGAGCAUGCCUGUUUGAGUCUCAUGGAAU
RNAcentral lists this ribosomal RNA (162 nucleotides) under Bjerkandera adusta. Its description in RNAcentral is "5.8S ribosomal RNA". It matches the Rfam family "5.8S ribosomal RNA". Rfam says of the family: 5.8S ribosomal RNA (5.8S rRNA) is a component of the large subunit of the eukaryotic ribosome. It is transcribed by RNA polymerase I as part of the 45S precursor that also contains 18S and 28S rRNA. The record is from RNAcentral. Lineage: Eukaryota; Fungi; Basidiomycota; Agaricomycetes; Polyporales; Phanerochaetaceae.